Non-coding RNA from Brachypodium distachyon (stiff brome), 92 nucleotides. Lineage: Eukaryota; Viridiplantae; Streptophyta; Magnoliopsida; Poales; Poaceae. The record is from RefSeq and is marked provisional.
CUUAGUGCGAGGCCACACCCUAAUGGUCGUGCGGGUGUCUUGUGAAAAGCCAAGGCCCACACGGCUAGAAGGGUGUGGCUUGGCGCUAAGCC